Molecule: ribosomal RNA, 497 nt
Filed under: uncultured bacterium
Lineage: Bacteria
Description: partial 16S ribosomal RNA
Rfam family: Bacterial small subunit ribosomal RNA
Source: RNAcentral
GAUGAACGCUGGCGGCGUGCCUAAUACAUGCAGGUCGAGCGAACAGACGAGGAGCUUGCUCCUCUGACGUUAGCGGCGGACGGGUGAGUAACACGUGGAUAACCUACCUAUAAGACUGGGAUAACUUCGGGAAACCGGAGCUAAUACCGGAUAAUAUAUUGAACCGCAUGGUUCAAUAGUGAAAGACGGUUUUGCUGCCACUUAUAGAUGGAUCCGCGCCGCAUUAGCUAGUUGGUAAGGUAACGGCUUACCAAGGCGACGAUGCGUAGCCGACCUGAGAGGGUGAUCGGCCACACUGGAACUGAGACACGGUCCAGACUCCUACGGGAGGCAGCAGUAGGGAAUCUUCCGCAAUGGGCGAAAGCCUGACGGAGCAACGCCGCGUGAGUGAUGAAGGUCUUCGGAUCGUAAAACUCUGUUAUUAGGGAAGAACAAAUGUGUAAGUAACUAUGCACGUCUUGACGGUACCUAAUCAGAAAGCCACGGCUAACUACGUG